AGGGACAAGUUAAAGAGGUCGUGUGUGCGUGAUUCUGGAAGUGGUUUUGUUUCGAGGGUUAUCUGAGUUUAUGCACGGGGAAUCAGAUUUAUAUAUCUUCAGGCCGAGAAGAAUUAAACCGAGCUUAUAGACCAAGGAUCUAGCCCAAGACGGUAGGGAUCGAGUUCCCGGUGCCUGAUAGACUGCCUUAGACUACUGAAGCUCCAUUAUCAAUUGCCAAUAAUUGAAUUUGAAGAUAGAGAGAAAGAAGAAGAAGUUGAAAAUAGAAGCCAGGAAGACAAAACAAAACGAAGCCAGAUUCAAUUGAGAAAUAUUGUAAUCGUUGAAGAAAAAAAAGAGAAAAACAAGGGAAAGAAAAUACAAAAGAUACAACAAAAGGAAAACAAAAGUUGAUUGAAAAAGAUGAGGUUGAUAAUAACGAAACUAAAACUUAAGUAGAAAUUGACACUGAUAGUAGUCAAGAAUCACAAGAAGAAAUUGACACUGAUAGUAGUCAAAAACCACAAGAAGUUGAAACAAAAGGAAAAAAGAGAGAAAUUAAAGAAAUGCAAAAGGAACAUAAUGUUAGUCAACAAAAAAAAGACAAAAGCCUCAACACAAGAAGAAAGCAACAAGAAAAACGAAAGAAGAAUGUCAACAGAAAAAUACAUUGAUAUGACUUCAUCCUUCGACCUACAAAUUUCUUAAUAUUUUAGAGAUGAUUUAUAGUGUUUGUAAAGCUUCAAAUCUUUAAAUUUAAAUUUUGAAAAUUUCA
This is a long non-coding RNA of Cucumis melo (muskmelon), 754 nucleotides long. RefSeq lists it as uncharacterized. The transcript has 4 exons. The record is from RefSeq and is a predicted model, not a curated record. NCBI's taxonomy places the organism in Eukaryota, Viridiplantae, Streptophyta, Magnoliopsida, Cucurbitales, Cucurbitaceae.